UGUUUCGGCUAGGGGGCCAUCCCGGCUUACCAACCCGAUGCAAACUGCGAAUACCGGAGAAUGUUAUCACGGGAGACACACGGCGGGUGCUAACGUCCGUCGUGAAGAGGGAAACAACCCAGACCGCCAGCUAAGGUCCCAAAGUCAUGGUUAAGUGGGAAACGAUGUGGGAAGGCCCAGACAGCCAGGAUGUUGGCUUAGAAGCAGCCAUCAUUUAAAGAAAGCGUAAUAGCUCACUGGUCGAGUCGGCCUGCGCGGAAGAUGUAACGGGGCUAAACCAUGCACCGAAGCUGCGGCAGCGACGCUUAUGCGUUGUUGGGUA
Molecule: ribosomal RNA, 322 nt
Filed under: Salmonella enterica subsp. enterica serovar Weltevreden
Lineage: Bacteria; Pseudomonadati; Pseudomonadota; Gammaproteobacteria; Enterobacterales; Enterobacteriaceae
Description: partial 23S ribosomal RNA
Rfam family: Bacterial large subunit ribosomal RNA
Source: RNAcentral